RNAcentral lists this ribosomal RNA (391 nucleotides) under uncultured bacterium. Its description in RNAcentral is "partial 16S ribosomal RNA". It matches the Rfam family "Bacterial small subunit ribosomal RNA", at positions 355 to 733 of the family's 1533-position model. The record is from RNAcentral.
UGGGGAAUUUUGGACGAAUUGGGCGAAAGCCUGAUCCAGCAAUGCCGCGUGUGUGAAGAAGGCCCUUCGGGUUGUAAAGCACUUUUGUCCGGAAAGAAAUCCUUGGCUCUAAUACAGUCGGGGGAUGACGGUACCGGGAAGAAUAAGCACCGGCUAACUACGUGCCAGCAGCCGCGGUAAUACGUAGGGUGCAAGCGUUAAUCGGAAUUACUGGGCGUAAAGCGUGCGCAGGCGGUUUGCUAAGACCGAUGUGAAAUCCCCGGGCUCAACCUGGGAACUGCAUUGGUGACUGGCAGGCUAGAGUAUGGCAGAGGGGGGUUAGAAUUCCACGUGUAGCAGUGAAAUGCGUAGAGAUGUGGAGGAAUACCGAUGGCGAAGGCAGCCCCCUGGG